Molecule: long non-coding RNA, 975 nt
Filed under: Nannospalax galili (Upper Galilee mountains blind mole rat)
Lineage: Eukaryota; Metazoa; Chordata; Mammalia; Rodentia; Spalacidae
Description: lncRNA (ENSNGAG00000024432.1)
Source: RNAcentral
UGGAGAUACUGGGUACCCAUGCCUGUCUGUCACUGGCGUCUUCUGGAAAGAUUUUCUUUAUGUUGAUUGCCUGUGUGGGUGCUAUCAGUUGGUUUGAGGAGUUAAGCAAUAUUGAGAUCUAAAUAAGGCCAGAUUUCCAUAACUUGGGCUUGUUUCUCUUAAUAUAAGCUAUACUCCCAAGACACAGAGUUUCACAGAAUGAGGGAUGAAAGGCAUCAGCUGAUUCACAGAUAUGAGGAUAACAGGGUUGCCAAGCUCUAUUUUGGGCUAGCCGGCACAGACAUCCCUUCCGUGUUUAUUAUCCACAUUUCAUGAAACUACGUUUUUAUCUACGUUGGGAAUCCAGUGUGAAAAUUGGCUGUGUAAAGUCACAUGUUAGCCACUAAGUUUGUGACAGCAGCCUCACUGCCCCACUCUCCCAGGGACUGGUUUGUUCACUUUUCCUUACUGUUCUUUGGGGACAUGGGGACUGAGAGCUUCUGUUUGCUUGUGGGAUACUGGACGUUCUCCUCUCUGGCCUAUUUGUCUUCUCUUUGUCCCCAUAGCAAUCUUUGGGACUCAGGAGUCAGCCUGGGACAAAGCCAGCUUCUCCAGGAGCUUCUAGAAGCUCUAGCAUCUGAAGUGUGUUUUCAGACAAGAGUGGAAAAGGUGGCAAUUCCAGAUGUGUUCUUCCAAGGAUCAGAAAUGAUCUACUAAAGUACUCAGCUAGGCAAACACCAGGUGCUCAGCAAACAUCAGGCUUGGUGCGGACGGCCCUUGAAUACUUUUCAACCACUUCCUGUGCAUCUUUGCUUCACCUUAUACUGCCGUUCUCUCCAGCCCUCCCUGAGGAGGUUCAGUAAGUAGAAAACUGGUUGUGUCUUGUGUUGUUAAGACAGUCUCUCCCCUCUCCUUCAUUUGCCGCAUAGAAUUCUUUCAUCCAGAUUUAUUUUGCUGCAUUGAUGAUGUGUGUUUUUCCUAUAAAUUAAACAAAGA